This 402-nucleotide ribosomal RNA is filed under the name uncultured bacterium. Its description in RNAcentral is "partial 16S ribosomal RNA". It matches the Rfam family "Bacterial small subunit ribosomal RNA", at positions 361 to 775 of the family's 1533-position model. The record is from RNAcentral.
AUAUUGCACAAUGGGCGCAAGCCUGAUGCAGCAACGCCGCGUGAGGGAUGACUGCCCUCGGGUUGUAAACCUCUUUUAGCAGGGAAGAAGCGAAAGUGACGGUACCUGCAGAAAAUGCACCGGCUAACUACGUGCCAGCAGCCGCGGUAAUACGUAGGGUGCAAGCGUUGUCCGGAAUUAUUGGGCGUAAAGAGCUAGUAGGCGGCUUGUCGCGUCUGCUGUGAAAUCCGGGGGCGCAACUCCGGGUCUGCAGUGGGUACGGGCAGGCUAGAGUGCGGUAGGGGAGAUUGUAACUCCUGGUGUAGCGGUGGAAUGCGCAGAUAUCAGGAAGAACACCAAUAGCGAAGGAAGAUCUCUGGGCCGCUACUGACGCUGAGGAGCGAAAGCAUGGGGAGCGAACAG